RNAcentral lists this ribosomal RNA (468 nucleotides) under uncultured bacterium. Its description in RNAcentral is "partial 16S ribosomal RNA". It matches the Rfam family "Bacterial small subunit ribosomal RNA", at positions 28 to 507 of the family's 1533-position model. The record is from RNAcentral.
GACGAACGCUGGCGGCGUGCUUAACACAUGCAAGUCGAACGGAAAGGCCCUGCUUUUGUGGGGUGCUCGAGUGGCGAACGGGUGAGUAACACGUGAGUAACCUGCCCUUGACUUUGGGAUAACUUCAGGAAACUGGGGCUAAUACCGGAUAGGAGCUCCUGCUGCAUGGGGGGGGUUGGAAAGUUUCGGCGGUUGGGGAUGGACUCGCGGCUUAUCAGCUUGUUGGUGGGGUAGUGGCUUACCAAGGCUUUGACGGGUAGCCGGCCUGAGAGGGUGACCGGCCACAUUGGGACUGAGAUACGGACCAGACUCCUACGGGAGGCAGCAGCGGGGAAUAUUGCACAAUGGGCGGAAGCCUGAUGCAGCAACGCCGCGUGCGGGAUGACGGCCUUCGGGUUGUAAACCGCUUUCGCCUGUGACGAAGCGUGAGUGACGGUAAUGGGUAAAGAAGCACCGGCUAACUACGUG